GCCGCUAUAGUCUAGGGGUAUGACGUUCGCCUCACAGUUCCUGACAUGGGCUGCGCGCGAAAAGUCCUCAGUUCGAUCCUGAGUGGUGGCA
Non-coding RNA from Plenodomus lindquistii, 91 nucleotides. Lineage: Eukaryota; Fungi; Ascomycota; Dothideomycetes; Pleosporales; Leptosphaeriaceae. The record is from the annotation of a GenBank genome assembly.